RNAcentral lists this transfer RNA (75 nucleotides) under Collinsella sp. zg1085. RNAcentral describes it as "tRNA-Asn". It matches the Rfam family "tRNA". Rfam says of the family: Transfer RNA (tRNA) molecules are approximately 80 nucleotides in length. The record is from RNAcentral. Lineage: Bacteria; Bacillati; Actinomycetota; Coriobacteriia; Coriobacteriales; Coriobacteriaceae.
UCCUCGGUAGCUCAAUGGUAGAGCACGCGGCUGUUAACCGCGCUGUUGUAGGUUCGAGUCCUACCCGAGGAGCCA